This 26-nucleotide non-coding RNA is filed under the name Rattus norvegicus (Norway rat). Lineage: Eukaryota; Metazoa; Chordata; Mammalia; Rodentia; Muridae. The record is from RNAcentral.
UAAUUUCUGCCCUGAUUUGUAUCGAU